GAUGAACGCUGGCGGCGUGCCUAAAACAUGCAAGUCGUGCGGCAGCAUGCCCUUCGGGGUGAUGGCGAGCGGCGGACGGCUGAGUAACGCGUGGGAACGUGCCCCAAAGUGAGGGAUAACUGCCCGAAAGGGUGGCUAAUACCGCAUAUGGUCUCCGGAUUAAAGCUUCGGCGCUUUGGGAGCGGCCCGCGUAAGAUUAGAUAGUUGGUGAGGUAAUGGCUCACCAAGUCGAUGAUCUUUAACUGGUUUGAGAGGAUGAUCAGCCACACUGGGACUGAGACACGGCCCAGACUCCUACGGGAGGCAGCAGUGGGGAAUAUUGGACAAUGGGCGCAAGCCUGAUCCAGCAAUGCCGCGUGAGUGAUGAAGGCCUUAGGGUUGUAAAGCUCUUUCACACGCGACGAUGAUGACGGUAGCGUGAGAAGAAGCCCCGGCUAACUCCGUGCCAGCAGCCGCCGUAA
This 461-nucleotide ribosomal RNA is filed under the name uncultured bacterium. RNAcentral describes it as "partial 16S ribosomal RNA". It matches the Rfam family "Bacterial small subunit ribosomal RNA", at positions 28 to 523 of the family's 1533-position model. The record is from RNAcentral.